UGGGGAAUAUUGCACAAUGGGCGCAAGCCUGAUGCAGCAACGCCGCGUGAGGGAUGACGGCCUUCGGGUUGUAAACCUCUUUUAGUAGGGAAGAAGCGAAAGUGACGGUACCUGCAGAAAAAGCACCGGCUAACUACGUGCCAGCAGCCGCGGUAAUACGUAGGGUGCGAGCGUUGUCCGGAAUUAUUGGGCGUAAAGAGCUCGUAGGCGGUCUGUCGCGUCUGCUGUGAAAACCCGAGGCUCAACCUCGGGCCUGCAGUGGGUACGGGCAGACUAGAGUGCGGUAGGGGAGAAUGGAAUUCCUGGUGUAGCGGUGGAAUGCGCAGAUAUCAGGAGGAACACCGAUGGCGAAGGCAGUUCUCUGGGCCGUAACUGACGCUGAGGAGCGAAAAGCGUGGGGAGCGAACAGGAUUAGAUACCCUGGUAGUCCACGCCGUAAAACGUUGGGCGCUAGAUGUGGGGACCAUUCCACGGUUUCCGUGUCGCAGCUAACGCAUUAAGCGCCCGCCUGGGGAGUACGGCCGCAAGGCU
This 531-nucleotide ribosomal RNA is filed under the name uncultured bacterium. RNAcentral describes it as "partial 16S ribosomal RNA". It matches the Rfam family "Bacterial small subunit ribosomal RNA", at positions 355 to 895 of the family's 1533-position model. The record is from RNAcentral.